RNAcentral lists this ribosomal RNA (532 nucleotides) under uncultured bacterium. RNAcentral describes it as "partial 16S ribosomal RNA". The record is from RNAcentral.
GGAGUUAGCCGGUGCUUCUUCUGCGAGUAACGUCACAGAUGUAAGGUAUUAACUUACACCCUUUCCUCCUCGCUGAAAGUGCUUUACAACCCGAAGGCCUUCUUCACACACGCGGCAUGGCUGCAUCAGGGUUUCCCCCAUUGUGCAAUAUUCCCCACUGCUGCCUCCCGUAGGAGUCUGGGCCGUGUCUCAGUCCCAGUGUGGCUGAUCAUCCUCUCAGACCAGCUAGGGAUCGUCGCCUAGGUGAGCCUUUACCUCACCUACUAGCUAAUCCCACCUGGGCUUAUCCAUCAGCGCAAGGCCCGAAGGUCCCCUGCUUUCCCCCGUAGGGCGUAUGCGGUAUUAGCAGUCGUUUCCAACUGUUAUCCCCCACAAAUGGGCAAAUUCCCAGGCAUUACUCACCCGUCCGCCGCUCGUCAUCUUCAAAAGCAAGCUUUUGAAAUGUUACCGCUCGACUUGCAUGUGUUAGGCCUGCCGCCAGCGUUCAAUCUGACACAGNAUACUNANUAGCGGCGUGCGACGACGCGACUAG